GUGGCCGCCGCGGUAAUACGGAGGGUGCAAGCGUUGUCCGGAAUCACUGGGCGUAAAGGGUGCGCAGGCGGGGCAACAAGUCGGAGGUGAAAGCCCGUGGCUCAACCACGGAAGUGCCUUCGAAACUGUUGCUCUUGAGUCCCGGAGAGGUUGCCGGAAUUCGUGGUGUAGCGGUGAAAUGCGUAGAUAUCACGAGGAACACCAGAGGCGAAAGCGGGCAACUGGACGGGUACUGACGCUCAGGCACGAAAGCGCGGGGAGCAAACAGGAUUAGAUACCUCAGUAGUCC
Molecule: ribosomal RNA, 289 nt
Filed under: uncultured bacterium
Lineage: Bacteria
Description: partial 16S ribosomal RNA
Rfam family: Bacterial small subunit ribosomal RNA
Source: RNAcentral